GUCCUUGUCGAUUAGUGGUUAGAUCAUCACGUUGUGGCUCGCUCUGCAAUCCGUGAAGACCGAGGCUCGAAUCCUCGCUGGGACA
RNAcentral lists this transfer RNA (85 nucleotides) under Trametopsis cervina. Its description in RNAcentral is "tRNA-His". It matches the Rfam family "tRNA". From Rfam's summary of the family: Transfer RNA (tRNA) molecules are approximately 80 nucleotides in length. Their secondary structure includes four short double-helical elements and three loops (D, anti-codon, and T loops). Lineage: Eukaryota; Fungi; Basidiomycota; Agaricomycetes; Polyporales; Irpicaceae. The record is from RNAcentral.